AAUAAUGUACAUUUGCAACAGUUACCAAGUCAAAUAUCAAAAGAACUAACAAGACACACUACAUUUGCAACAAUUACCAAAUCAAAAAUCAAAAGGUUUGUUAAGGUUUCAAAGCUAAGGGGGACUUGCAUAUGCAAUUUCACAAAUUUCAGAGACAGAUAUUGCACCUUAUUGUGUAAGGAAAUGUGGUACAAUUUAUCAAAUUUAUUGUUUCCACAAUCAAUAAGAAAAUAAAAUCAUAAAUCAGCAUCCACCAAUUUCACCUUCUUUCAAGUUUCCAAAAACAUUUACAA
Molecule: unclassified non-coding RNA, 293 nt
Filed under: Hevea brasiliensis (rubber tree)
Lineage: Eukaryota; Viridiplantae; Streptophyta; Magnoliopsida; Malpighiales; Euphorbiaceae
Source: RNAcentral